RNAcentral lists this ribosomal RNA (253 nucleotides) under uncultured bacterium. RNAcentral describes it as "partial 16S ribosomal RNA". It matches the Rfam family "Bacterial small subunit ribosomal RNA", at positions 524 to 776 of the family's 1533-position model. The record is from RNAcentral.
UACGGAGGGAGCAAGCGUUACUCGGAAUUAUUGGGCGUAAAGGGCGCGUAGGCGAUUUGAAAAGUCUUGUGUGAAAGCCCCGAGCUUAACUCGGGAAGUGCACAAGAAACUGUUGAAUUUGAGUUCCGGAGAGGAAGGCAGAAUUCCCGGUGUAGAGGUGAAAUUCGUAGAUAUUCGCAAGAACACCAGUGGCGAAGGCGGCUCACUGGCCCGGUACUGACGCUGAGGUGCGAAAGCGUGGGGAGCAAACAGG